UACGAAGGGGGCUAGCGUUGUUCGGAAUUACUGGGCGUAAAGGGCGCGUAGGCGGCGUGGUAAGUCACUUGUGAAAUCUCUGAGCUUAACUCAGAACGGUCAAGUGAUACUGCUGUGCUAGAGUGCGGAAGGGGCAAUCGGAAUUCUUGGUGUAGCGGUGAAAUGCGUAGAUAUCAAGAGGAACACCUGAGGUGAAGACGGGUUGCUGGGCCGACACUGACGCUGAUGCGCGAAAGCCAGGGGAGCAAACGGG
Molecule: ribosomal RNA, 253 nt
Filed under: uncultured bacterium
Lineage: Bacteria
Description: partial 16S ribosomal RNA
Rfam family: Bacterial small subunit ribosomal RNA
Source: RNAcentral